Molecule: ribosomal RNA, 253 nt
Filed under: uncultured bacterium
Lineage: Bacteria
Description: partial 16S ribosomal RNA
Rfam family: Bacterial small subunit ribosomal RNA
Source: RNAcentral
UACGUAGGGCGCAAGCGUUAUCCGGAAUCACUGGGCGUAAAGGGUGCGUAGGCGGGCCUUUAAGUCAGGGGUGAAAUCCUGGAGCUCAACUCCAGAACUGCCUUUGAUACUGAAGAUCUUGAGUUCGGGAGAGGUGAGUGGAACUGCGAGUGUAGAGGUGAAAUUCGUAGAUAUUCGCAAGAACACCAGUGGCGAAGGCGGCUCACUGGCCCGAUACUGACGCUGAGGCACGAAAGCGUGGGGAGCAAACAGG